CAUUAUAUGACGGUCUUUUGAUGGCGAAUUUUCGCUAUCAAUAAUUCAGUUCUUUUGAUGGCGAAAAUCCACAAUCAAUUGUUUUAGUCCGCCGAGAAAAGGCAUGGGCUCAACGGAAAUUUCAAUAAUUUAUUUUCGAUGGUGGUAUUUUACUGGCGGAAAUCCGUCAUCUAAAAUAUCCCGUUUAAACUUUCGAAUCCCCCCCCCAAUAUUUAACCCGAUUACCCGAUUAAAUCCGCCAUGAUAAGUAUUCGAGGAAUCAGGCGGAAAUUAUUAAAAAGCCCGCCAAAAUUUCAAUAUUUUUUUUAUCAUAUGUAAUUGUAUAUUAUAAGUAAUUGUAUAGAGUUAUUCGGGUUGCUAACUCAACGACAGAGUACUCGGCUUGCGGCUACGAUCUUUUACAUAUUUAGAUAGAGCAACGAAUUCAUCUAGACUUUUGGUUGAGUCUAUAAGACCACGAACGACAUUUGAGUUAUUUGACAUAGGCGUCUACUGUUAAUAUGAUUUUGUUAUUAUAGUUAAUUGUGUUUGUCUACUGUUAGUUAAUAUGAUUUUGUUUAAAAAUAUGAAUGAGUUUAGGGUCUAAUACAUGUUUACAUAUUUAGGGAUGAUCAAAAG
RNAcentral lists this long non-coding RNA (618 nucleotides) under Zostera marina. Its description in RNAcentral is "long non-coding RNA (ZMAR_LNC005431)". Lineage: Eukaryota; Viridiplantae; Streptophyta; Magnoliopsida; Alismatales; Zosteraceae. The record is from RNAcentral.